GUUCCUCCUUUUUCAAGGCUGCCAAAGAAAACAGGAGAGGGGAAAAAAAUCUUUUUUCUCCCUUUCCCACAGUAUGGUUUUAUAAUUUUCAUUUUACAGAGAGGAAAAAGAGGACAGACAAGUCACGAGACGAGCUUGUGAAAUUCUUGAGCACUUACCGGGUGGCUCUCCUAAGCCAGUAGAAGCUGCUGAAAGGGGAACAGCGCAGGAGAGACACCCAGAAGCAAACUACUGGAAGAAGAUUCAUUUAUUCGUGGACUUCCCAAUAAUUAUAAUCGUCACCAUAACACUGGGAAAGACAGUUGCCUCUCCAAAUCCAAUUUUCCUUUUUCUUUCUUAACUACAGAAUUUUGAUUUUAAGCUUGACAAUGCUUAAAAUCCGGUCAAAACACACGUUACAGCUUACCUUAAAGAAAAGGGAAGGCAUGUAACUCUGCUCAGGACAAUGUUAUUUGGGCAAAAGCUGUUCACCGGGACUCGGAAAAGUCUCAUUAAAACAGCAAGGAUUCAGCUGGCCUUGACCAUUUUGCAUAUUCCUUUUUCCUUCUCUACCUGUGAUCGGUAAGAUAGGGCAGCCAUCGGGAGCAUGAGGUGUUCUGAGGAUAUAAGCUUCUGCUAAGCACAGCAAAGCAGGAAAUAAAAGUAUUCUAAAGAUAUUAAUACAAAAAAAGUCAACAUGCCAGGCCUGAACAGCCUAUCUCUGGAUUCCAUCAUACACGAGAGAAAAGUUCAUGUAUUUUUAAGCCACUUAUUUUUAGGUCUUUGUAUCUGGCAAAUGGCACUCCUAACUGGUAGUGUAGUUCGGAUUUAUGGAGUGUGUGGUAGGUUCUAGAUACAGGUCACCCCAGAAAGGUAACACCUUUCUGUGCAGGUUAGACAUACCUAGUUUGUGAUUUUUAUAGCCUCAUUUGUCGUUGGAAGAAUUGAUUAAAUUGAUAGAUGUUCAUACCCCUCCUUUCAGCAGAAAAUAGUUAUUCUGAGAUUGGGUCAUCCCUUCACGCUACAGAGGGUACUAACUCUACUUCUGCUCAAAGUAGUAUUAACAAUUAUAAUUAACAGUGUUGCAUUUGAAUUUUAAACGCUAACUACUCAAUUCACUGUUUGCAGUACAGUAAAUAUCAAGUCACAACGACAAGAAGUAAAUACAGAAAGCACCAUUUUGAUGUUUGAAAGCUGCUUACAAAGAUUGAACUGAGGUUACGCUGUUCCAUUUUUCCAGACAGCUUCAAAAACUUCUAAAAAAUUAUGUUAUUAAAUUAGACAUAAUAUUCUGACAUGGAGUCCUUGGGAACGCAGACACAAGAAACUUACAUUUCUAGUUCUAGCUCCUUCCAAGGAGUCUAUGACAGCACCUCAAAAUAUAACAACUCCUUUAAAUUGGCUCCUAGGAGGAACAUUUGAUUAUCAGAAGAAUGAAGCCUUUGGCACGCUUGUCAAUCAUAUCUAUUGUUGUAUCCUGUGAAGAAGGGUAAUCAAUUCUGAAUAGUAUCUCUUAAGGAGAAAGCUUUUAUUAUAAUAAGGCUUUUCUGUAAAUGUAACUUGUAAAAAAGAAAUCUCGCUUUUUCUUUUCUGAAGUCUUAAGAGGGCUCUUCUGGGAUUGUUCAAGCUAUAGCCCAUCUUUUAUUUUUUAUUUCUAAAAUUAAAGUUGAAGGGUUUUGGCUUUUGUUUGGUA
Canis lupus familiaris (dog) is the source of this 1672-nucleotide long non-coding RNA. RefSeq lists it as uncharacterized. The record is from RefSeq and is a predicted model, not a curated record. The transcript is spliced from 2 exons. NCBI's taxonomy places the organism in Eukaryota, Metazoa, Chordata, Mammalia, Carnivora, Canidae.